Molecule: ribosomal RNA, 468 nt
Filed under: uncultured bacterium
Lineage: Bacteria
Description: bacterial SSU rRNA
Rfam family: Bacterial small subunit ribosomal RNA
Source: RNAcentral
ACCAGACUCCUACGGGAGGCAGCAGUGAGGGAUAUUGGUCAAUGGGCGGGAGCCUGAACCAGCCAAGUCGCGUGAGGGAAGACGGUCCUACGGAUUGUAAACCUCUUCUGCCGGGGAGCAACGGGGUCCUUGCGAGGGCCCAAUGAGAGUACCCGGAGAAAAAGCAUCGGCUAACUCCGUGCCAGCAGCCGCGGUAAUACGGAGGAUGCGAGCGUUAUCCGGAUUUAUUGGGUUUAAAGGGUGCGCAGGCGGAGGUGCAAGUCAGCGGUCAAAUUGCGGGGCUCAACCCCGUCGUGCCGUUGAAACUGACGCCCUUGAGUGAGUGAGAAGUAAGCGGAAUGCGUGGUGUAGCGGUGAAAUGCAUAGAUAUCACGCAGAACGCCGAUUGCGAAGGCAGCGUACCGGCGCUCAACUGACGCUGAGGCACGAAAGUGCGGGUAUCGAACAGGAUUAGAUACCCCAGUACAG